CUGAGUGUUACAUGUUAUGUCCUGUGCUCUUACAAUAAGUAAGCUGGAGAAAAGAAACCUUUACUGAGGAAAUCAUAAGAAGAAAAUACGUUUGCGUCACUGUCUGCACUCACUGAAUGCGUCCCCCAGAAGUGGGCCCACGCGGUUCAAGCAUGUGUUCAAGGCUGAGCUGCAUUUCUCUGAAUGUGUGGCCUGCAGUGCCGUUCGCCAUGGUCAUGAUAAUUAUAGUUUUUUCUUAUGGUUUUUUACCGAUUUGCCUUUGUUUUCUCACAGUGUAAACUGACGUCCCAGUUCUCCCCCAUAAAAAGGACUGGUGGGAUUCCCUGUGUCAGGAAGAAUUUGUGUUGCAAGAUAGCAAGUUUCCAUAGGGAAAAAAGCUCCGAGGCCCCUAUUCGAAGGAAGGGUCCCUAAUCUUUCCUGCAUGAACCCUGUGCAGUCGGGUGAGGUUCAUGAUGCCUUCUCACCGCAGUGUUCUCGAAGGCGUAUGCCAUUUCCGUAAGAAACAGAACCCUCUGCUUUCGGCAGCCUGUGUGCUGGGGGGAGUGGGUGGGCUGUCGCUUCCCCGGGCUCCUCCAGCCGUGUUCCUCGGGUGGGGCGUGUGUGCACUGGUCUGUAUGGCAUGGGGUUCCCAUCGGAACCCAAGGCUGCCUGAGAUUCUGGGAGGUUAUUUAUUUGAAGUUACACAGAUGUUUGUGGAAGGGAGACUGAGACAUGGGCACUUGGAGCGCACAGCUGACCCUGAGCAGAGGGCCACCUGUCCUUAAUGUGCUCCAUGUGCUCUCUUGUCCCCAACAGCAACAAGCAUGCUUCCCUCUGUGACUCUUCCUUGGAAAUUAAAUAAUGAGUCUCCAUAAGAUACUUGCUCACAGCCCAAAGCUGCAUAUCCACGAGAAAGUGACUUAGAGGGAAGUAUCAUGAGAGGUUCCCAGGAGAGCGGUGGCAGGAGAAUCCUCUCUGAGCACCGUGUGUCACGCCUCUUACAGCCUCAGUUACCGUGUGCACUGCGCUGUGCAGAGCUGCCUCCUGCUUUUCCAGGGUGGCCUGUUUCUCAAUGAACACGUUCCCUCUGGAUGGACAUCUGGCUGCUGCUGGUGUCUUUUUUUCAAGCAAUGCCACACCCCUCCGCUCACAUCUGCGUACAGUGGCACCCUCCGCAUGCCUCUGUGGGAACAGUGCUAAAAGCAGGAUUGUCAGCUGAGGUACAUUCAGUUAACAAAAUGAUAAAUACCAAAUUUGUCUCCAUAAAGACUGUGGGCCUGAGCCCUCCGGCAGUGGUGUGGGCGUGUGGCCGUGACGUCGAUGGUGGUCAGAGCUCAAGGGACAGGCCUUGCAGUCAGCAGCCUUCCGCUGCUGAGCAUCUGAGCAAGGAUGGGAUGGGAAAGGUCAGGGAUCCUCAUGUUAAUCUCAGACUCUUUGGCUUUUUUAAUUUAAAUCUCUGGAUGACAAAGCAGGUGUGACAUUCCUAGGACAGAGCCCUUUAGAUUCCGCUGGCCUGACAGCUUCGUUGGGUGGAGAGGAAGCUGAGGCCAGACAAGAUCAGCCCCCAUUCCAUGGUCACUUCCUGGCGGAGCCUGGCUCAGGCCCGGAGUCUCGAACCUGGCUCUCUUUGGCUGUUGGGAGACCGCACAGUGGGCACCCCAGGACCUGGGGUGCUCAUGGAGCCCGGUGGCCGGGCACAGAGGCGUCACCAACUGAUCUGUGUUUAGCCCCGCAGUGUUGAGCAGAGGUGGCCGGCUGUGGCAUGCAGCUCCUGACAUAAUGACUGUAGAACGCUGAAAAUGUCCUUUUGGGUUUUGGCUGAAUAAUAUUUAAGGGUUUUGAAACAGUGACUUAAUUGUGUUUUUAUGUAAUUGAUGGCGUUGUAGUGAACGUACUGAGACACUGCAUCAGCAUUUUUCUAACUGUUCCUUGGAGAAAAACAUGCUCCUAUGAAAAUGGUUUCUUCACUUUCCACUCAUGGAGUUGAAACGAAAACAACGCUGUGCUUCCCUGGAACCGCAGUGCCCAGAGAUGCUCUAAUUCUAGAGUGUUUUCCCCUCUGGGUGUGGCCUGAAUAAUGCCAGGCUACCUCGCCUUUGAAGUUGGGUCAUCCCUUAUUUUGGAAGCAACGCAGGGCAUGGAGCGGCCGAUCGUGUCAGGAAGUUGGUGCA
Molecule: non-coding RNA, 2150 nt
Organism: Miniopterus natalensis
Lineage: Eukaryota; Metazoa; Chordata; Mammalia; Chiroptera; Miniopteridae
Source: RefSeq, a predicted model, not a curated record